RNAcentral lists this long non-coding RNA (571 nucleotides) under Monodelphis domestica (gray short-tailed opossum). RNAcentral's name for it is "lncRNA (ENSMODG00000031463.2)". The record is from RNAcentral. Lineage: Eukaryota; Metazoa; Chordata; Mammalia; Didelphimorphia; Didelphidae.
CAAGGUACAAGUGGAGCCCAAGAGUGACCAGGCUACCCUACAGGUUCCAGUCAUCUCUCUAUCUAGGCAGGCACUGAUGCCAGCACACAGUCAACCAGCCAGUCAGUCAGCCAGCUAGCAGCGUCUAGUGUAUUCUCUACCUGCUUCACUCCCUUCACAGACCUAGCCAGGACAUGGUGAGGACCAAGGAGAAUAGUGAACGUGCUGGUAAAAGGGACAGCUGUCUCAUCCCUGCAAGGCCAAAUUCGGCCUGAUGUUGCCAGGAACGACACUUCCCCCCUUUUGAGAUCCUUGGUCGCCACCACUCCAAAGGAGACACUUCCCUUACAAAGAACGCUCACAAGGUGUGUAAGCCAGAGGAAGUCCACCAAAGGCUUUUCCACCAAAGGCGUGUUGGUGAUCUGACUGGCAGGAAGAGCAGGCUGAACACACUUUAGGGGCUCUGGUAGUUAUACCAGGGGCCAGCCAGACUCUCUUAACAGAGUCCACGAUGCCCGGGGUACCAAAGUGGCCAUUAUGAUGAACAGAUGGGUAAAUUUGGUGAUGAAAACUUCUAGGGAGCAGGGGUUUU